CUGCUUGUAGCUCAGCUUGGUAGAGCGCCCGCUUUGGGAGCGGGAGGUCGCAGGUUCAAAUCCUGCUUGGCAGAC
Molecule: transfer RNA, 75 nt
Filed under: Mycobacterium phage Archie
Lineage: Duplodnaviria; Heunggongvirae; Uroviricota; Caudoviricetes; Vilmaviridae
Also listed under: 1 other name
Description: tRNA-Pro
Rfam family: tRNA
About the family: Transfer RNA (tRNA) molecules are approximately 80 nucleotides in length. Their secondary structure includes four short double-helical elements and three loops (D, anti-codon, and T loops).
Source: RNAcentral